UACAGAGGUCUCAAGCGUUGUUCGGAUUCAUUGGGCGUAAAGGGUGCGUAGGUGGCGCGCUAAGUCAGGUGUGAAAUUUCGGAGCUCAACUCCGAAACUGCAUUUGAUACUGGCGUGCUUGAGGACUGGAGAGGAGACUGGAAUUUACGGUGUAGCAGUGAAAUGCGUAGAGAUCGUAAGGAAGACCAGUGGCGAAGGCGGGUCUCUGGGCCGAUACUGACGCUGAGGAGCGAAAGCGUGGGGAGCGAACAGG
RNAcentral lists this ribosomal RNA (253 nucleotides) under uncultured bacterium. RNAcentral's name for it is "partial 16S ribosomal RNA". It matches the Rfam family "Bacterial small subunit ribosomal RNA", at positions 524 to 776 of the family's 1533-position model. The record is from RNAcentral.